This 391-nucleotide unclassified non-coding RNA is filed under the name Pinus albicaulis. RNAcentral describes it as "partial miscellaneous RNA". The record is from RNAcentral. Lineage: Eukaryota; Viridiplantae; Streptophyta; Pinopsida; Pinales; Pinaceae.
CCUCAUUUCAUUGGUGUGAGAUCCAUAGAUUCCUUUGGAAUCCUAACGAUUAUAGCGCGAAUCGGAUUCAAUGACGCAAUCCAGAUUACGAUUACAAAGGAACAUUGUUUGAAUGUAGAUUCUUUCAAGGGAAAGAAAGGGUCAAUUGAUAUCGAUCGUUUUACUCACUCUUCCAAAUCGACUAGGGGAGGAUAAUAACAUUGCAUUUCAAAUGGAGAAAUAAUAUAAUGAUUCCCAGUCAUAUUCGAUUGGGAUAGAGAUAGAGAUGGCGAGAGAAGGGGAGUAGGGGAGGAUAUUUCUACCACCCAAUAUUGAGCAAAUAUCCAAUGAAUAAUGCUGAUGGAUAUUACAUAAUAGGAUUAGAACAAGGUAUGAUCUUGUUCUUCGAGAA